UGGGGAAUCUUGCGCAAUGGGCGAAAGCCUGACGCAGCGACGCCGCGUGAGUGAUGAAGGCCCUCGGGUUGUAAAGCUCUGUGGAGGGGGACGAAUAAGUGUUGGCUAAUAUCCAGCAUGAUGACGGUACCCCUUUAGCAAGCACCGGCUAACUCUGUGCCAGCAGCCGCGGUAAGACAGAGGGUGCAAACGUUGUUCGGAAUUACUGGGCGUAAAGCGCGUGUAGGCUGCCCCGAAAGUCAGGUGUGAAAGCCCUGGGCUCAACCCAGGAAGUGCACUUGAAACUUCGGGGCUCGAGUUCUGGAGAGGAUGGCGGAAUUCUCGGUGUAGAGGUGAAAUUCGUAGAUAUCGAGAGGAACACCGGUGGCGAAGGCGGCUAUCUGGACAGUGACUGACGCUGAGACGCGAAAGCGUGGGGAGCAAACAGGAUUAGAUACCCUGGUAGUCCACGCCGUAAACGAUGGGUGCUAGGUGUCGCGGGCUUUGACCCCUGCGGUGCCGCAGCUAACGCAUUAAGCACCCCGCCUGGGGAGUACGGCCGCAAGGCUAA
RNAcentral lists this ribosomal RNA (550 nucleotides) under uncultured Polyangiaceae bacterium. Its description in RNAcentral is "bacterial SSU rRNA". It matches the Rfam family "Bacterial small subunit ribosomal RNA", at positions 355 to 897 of the family's 1533-position model. Lineage: Bacteria; Pseudomonadati; Myxococcota; Polyangiales; Polyangiaceae. The record is from RNAcentral.